This 903-nucleotide ribosomal RNA is filed under the name uncultured archaeon. Its description in RNAcentral is "bacterial SSU rRNA". It matches the Rfam family "Archaeal small subunit ribosomal RNA", at positions 1 to 906 of the family's 1478-position model. The record is from RNAcentral.
UCUCCCGAGGCUAUUGCUAUCGGUGUCCGAUUUAGCCAUGCGAGUUGCACGUUUAACGUAGCAAACUGCUCAGUAACACGUGGCCAAACUGCCCUAUGGAUCGGGAUAACCUCGGGAAACUGAGGCUAAUCCCGAAUAGUACAUCCAGCCUGGAACUGGCGGAUGUGUGAAAUGCUCCGGCGCCAUAGGAUGUGGCUGCGGCCGAUUAGGUAGACGGUGGGGUAACGGCCCACCGUGCCGAUAAUCGGUACGGGUUGUGAGAGCAAGAGCCCGGAGACGGAAUCUGAGACAAGAUUCCGGGCCCUACGGGGCGCAGCAGGCGCGAAACCUUUACACUGCACGCAAGUGCGAUAAGGGGACUCCGAGUGCGAGGGCAUAUAGUCCUCGCUUUUGAGAACCGUAAGGUGGUUCUCGAAUAAGAGCUGGGCAAGACCGGUGCCAGCCGCCGCGGUAAUACCGGCAGCUCAGGUGAUGGCCAAUCUUAUUGGGCCUAAAGCGUCCGUAGCUGGCCGUGAAAGUUCGUCGGGAAAUCCAUCCGCUCAACGGAUGGGCGUCCGGCGAAAACUUCACGGCUUGGGACCGGAAGGCUCGAGGGGUACGUCCGGGGGUAGGAGUGAAAUCCUGUAAUCCUGGACGGACCGCCGAUGGCGAAAGCACCUCGAGAAGACGGAUCCGACAGUGAGGGGACGAAAGCUAGGGUCUCGAACCGGGAUUAGAUACCCGGGGUAGUCCUAGCCGUAAACGAUGUUCACUAAGGUGUGGCACAGGGCUACGAGCCCUGUGCUGUGCCGUUAGGGAAGCCCGAGAAGUGAACCGCCCUGGGGAAGUACGUCCGCAAGGAUGAAACUUUAAAGGAAUUGGGCGGGGGGAGCACUUACAACCCGGAGGAGCCUGCGGUUUAAU